This is a non-coding RNA of Pseudoalteromonas citrea DSM 8771, 90 nucleotides long. NCBI's taxonomy places the organism in Bacteria, Pseudomonadati, Pseudomonadota, Gammaproteobacteria, Alteromonadales, Pseudoalteromonadaceae. The record is from Rfam.
UAGGCUGGAGACGAGCUAGCACAAGAUAGCGAAGUCAUGUGAUCUAACGGCCACCGUAAAUGAUGUAGUUGUGCAGAGAAAGUCGAUGCU